GGGAGCACCACGCUUCUUUGCGGAGAUCAAGCUGUCGAAACAAAUUAGGCUGGAAAAAAACACCCGGUGACAGAUCUGCGUGGGGAGAGAUAGACUCCACAGGUCCAUGAUCCAACCAGGAAGGAUGCCAGGCUCUCCACAGGCUAAUCUUGGGACAUAGCUGCCAGCUACCUCAUGUUUGCUCAGAUAUUUGGGGCUGAGGGUCAGACCCCAUCUGAGGAAUGCUUGCCCAGCACUUGAGCCCCUGUGACACAUACCCACAGGCCUGGGGACAGCACAACCUGCUGACAUGAUGUUCCUUACAAGCCAGAACAUAAAGGAGAUGGCAGGACAUCCUGGAGACAGAACCACAUUGUCCCGGACACUGACUUUUUUAAAGUCACACUUAAGCAUGGGAUGGAGAGGGCACAGGACAUUUUGGCCAAAUUGUAGAGUCAAGUGGUAAAUUUCCCAGUGCAGAACUAGUCUGGGCAACACUGAGAGAGGAGCUGAAAAAUCAGAACUAAUCCUGCAGGAAUGACUCAUUCUGGCAGAGGAUUUGCAGAGCAAGAUGAGAAGUUCAGCCGGGAUUACAGUGGCCAAGUCCAAACAGAGAAGCACUGGAAUUUUGACAAAGGCUUAAGCAACAAGGAUUACUUUGUGUGUGUGCACCACUCUGCUGGGAGAGCCCACAAAAAGAAACUGGCAGCAAAUCUGUGGUGACCAGCCAGAGCAGCAGCCUGGGAUAAGACAGCAUCCAGCCCUGAGGACUCUGGGAAAACAGGUGAGGAGAGCUUGGAGAUACUACACUUCAGGAGAGGACUUGUUACUCAUUGUGUCCUGUCUCUCUGUUGUCCACUUCCUUUGUCUCUUGUGGGACAUGGUGCCAUAAAGACUUUUGAGUUUAAUAUCCCUGAGACAGAAGCCAGCAUAACAUCAACAGUCCUAAAAUCUGAUUUUUGUCCAUGUUGUUGCAAGCGAGAGAUGCCAGCUGCUGGAUACUGCAGACACGCAAAAAAGGUGCUGGGCUAGGACUGACUCUGCUGCAAGAGAGCAUGUUGUGAGCCUCCCUGGCAAGGUCUUCAGAUGCCCAUUCUCCUCCAGUGUUGUAUGAUCUAUGUCUGCUGCCCCCAGGAAACCAUAAAAUGAUCCUCAAACUCCUUCCGUCCAGUUUCUGUCUCACAGGGCUGAGAUGAGAACAUGUUUCAACUUAAUAUCCUGCAACUUUGCCUGGAUUCCCUCCCAAGGAAAAGGUGUGGAAUAGACAUCUAGAUAGAUCUAGGAAAGGCUCAGGCAGAGAGGGAGCAAUCCAUCACUUUGUUG
Long non-coding RNA from Catharus ustulatus (Swainson's thrush), 1302 nucleotides. RefSeq lists it as uncharacterized. Lineage: Eukaryota; Metazoa; Chordata; Aves; Passeriformes; Turdidae. The record is from RefSeq and is a predicted model, not a curated record. The transcript has 6 exons.